Long non-coding RNA from Candoia aspera, 530 nucleotides. RefSeq lists it as uncharacterized. The record is from RefSeq and is a predicted model, not a curated record. Lineage: Eukaryota; Metazoa; Chordata; Lepidosauria; Squamata; Candoiidae. The transcript has 3 exons.
UGGUUUGCCAGGCGUGCGACGCCAUCUGUUAUGAAUUAUUCAUGUGGGCUUAGGUUGGGACAAGGCAACAAGCUAACAUGGGUUGGCUGUGGUUUAGGGCAUUGCACAAACAUAACCGUGUUUGCAUUAAGGGGCUAGUGAACCAUGUUUGAUUGCGGAGAGGUCAAAUUCUGACGUUUCAUUCCGUAUGGAAAUUCAUGCAAAACAGCUCCUAACUGCCAACCGCUUUUCCCGGAAUGUCCCCGCCUCCUUUCCCUGAUUGGCUCCCUCCACUGCCCCAGCGCUCAUUCAAAAGAAAAUAAGGCUGCGUGGAUCCGGUUUUCCCCCUUUCUCUCCGAGACAGACAAGAACAGUAAAGGUCUGCCUGAUAUCCAAGGACGGAUGGAAGACGAAGAGGAAUCAGUGCCCACCAUCCGAGAUAAUCUGACAAACACGCUGAUAAUCUCUAUGUUGGUUUCUUAUCUCGGGCACUUUCAAUACGGCUACUCUUUCAUAUUGGUUAACAACCCGGCUGUGGUAAGUCUCGCCAA